UUUGGUCCCAGGACAGGUAGGGGGCCUCUCCCUGGGGAAUGCACAGGGUCUCACUGUAUUGCCCAGGCUGGAGUGCAAUGGCACAAUCACAGAGGCACAACCUUCCCGUCCGAAGCGAUCCUCCUGCCUCAGCCUCCGAGUAGCUGGGACCACAGUUCUUGCUCCCAACACUGACUGGCCGUAUCCUCUGUUCCUGAAACCUGUAUCCUCAAGUACGAAGGUGAAGAAAAUGGAGCUCACUACCCUGAAAGCACCCCUUGCUGUUUGAUCAUUUAAAAGCAUGAAUCCCAGAUUUCAACAAUCUUAAAGACACACUGAGUUACGAAUCUUUAACAGAAAUGUUCAAAAUGACAAAAUAAAAAACAGAUGACACAGAAACCCAGAAAUUGCAAUUUUCAGAUCCUAACUCCAA
This is a long non-coding RNA of Gorilla gorilla gorilla (western lowland gorilla), 412 nucleotides long. RefSeq lists it as uncharacterized. Lineage: Eukaryota; Metazoa; Chordata; Mammalia; Primates; Hominidae. The record is from RefSeq and is a predicted model, not a curated record. The transcript has 3 exons.